RNAcentral lists this ribosomal RNA (254 nucleotides) under uncultured bacterium. RNAcentral describes it as "partial 16S ribosomal RNA". It matches the Rfam family "Bacterial small subunit ribosomal RNA", at positions 524 to 776 of the family's 1533-position model. The record is from RNAcentral.
UACGUAGGGGGCAAGCGUUGUCCGGAAUCAUUGGGCGUAAAGCGCGUGUAGGCGGUUCGGUAAGUCGGGUGUGAAAACCCCAGGCUCAACCUGGGGACGCCACCCGAUACUGCUAUAGCUAGAGUCCAGUAGGGGAGUGUGGAAUUCCCAGUGUAGCGGUGAAAUGCGCAGAUAUUGGGAGGAACACCAGCGGCGAAGGCGGCACUCUGGGCUGGUACUGACGCUGAGGAGCGAAAGCGUGGGUAGCGAACAGG